GUAAGAUCUGAAAAAAGUUGUCGGUACGUAAUAUUUUGGAUAAUAUGUUAUCUUGAUUUAACCUUUUCGCCGCCACGUCAAUGAAGUAUUAACAAAGUGUCAACGCCAAGCCACAAAUUGCACGUAAACAAUCCGUAUACAUAUCAAGUCGUGGCGUGUGGGGCAUGAAAUGUACUGACUUUAUAUCAAGUCAAUGACGGCGAAAAGGUUAAAAGGCUGUUAAUACCUAUAACGCGCACACUGUCUAAUUGUAUCGGAGUAAAUGAGAUAGCACUGUCGCAUGUUACUGGGCCUGGGCAAAGGAAUAAUAAGAAAACUCAUCA
Cydia splendana is the source of this 323-nucleotide long non-coding RNA. RefSeq lists it as uncharacterized. NCBI's taxonomy places the organism in Eukaryota, Metazoa, Arthropoda, Insecta, Lepidoptera, Tortricidae. The record is from RefSeq and is a predicted model, not a curated record. The transcript is spliced from 2 exons.